GUGGGGAAUAUUGGACAAUGGGCGAAAGCCUGAUCCAGCCAUGCCGCGUGUGUGAAGAAGGUCUUCGGAUUGUAAAGCACUUUAAGUUGGGAGGAAGGGCAGUAAGUUAAUACCUUGCUGUUUUGACGUUACCGACAGAAUAAGCACCGGCUAACUUCGUGCCAGCAGCCGCGGUAAUACGAAGGGUGCAAGCGUUAAUCGGAAUUACUGGGCGUAAAGCGCGCGUAGGUGGUUUUGUAAGUUGAAGGUGAAAUCCCCGGGCUCAACCUGGGAACUGCCUCCAAAACUACUGAGCUAGAGUACGGUAGAGGGUAGUGGAAUUUCCUGUGUAGCGGUGAAAUGCGUAGAUAUAGGAAGGAACACCAGUGGCGAAGGCGACUACCUGGACUGAUACUGACACUGAGGUGCGAAAGCGUGGGGAGCAAACAGGAUUAGAUACCCCUGUAGUCC
Molecule: ribosomal RNA, 450 nt
Filed under: uncultured bacterium
Lineage: Bacteria
Description: partial 16S ribosomal RNA
Rfam family: Bacterial small subunit ribosomal RNA
Source: RNAcentral